GGCAAUUUGAAAAACGGCCGCCGGAAAAACCAAUCCGGCGACCCAAGGAAGAAGAAGGUACGCGUGGGGGCGCGUAGGUCCGUGCCUUCCUUGGCGCGUGGGGGCGCAACUUUGUCAUUUCUCAACGAAAUCAAGUGAUUCAAAAACAAAAGUUGUAGCCCUUGAAGAGACAAAGAGAAUGGUACCUUGCACAACACCUAGUUCGCCGUGGUUUUGCCGGAAACUUCCUCGAAAGCCUCGGAGGUCGCCGAAAACUGGGUAUUUUUCAAAUGAGUAUAACUUAUUCAAUACUCAACAAAAUUGAGUGAAACAAAAAGGAAAGUUGUAGUACUUGACGAGACGAAGAGAUUGAUACCUACCUCGACUCCUAACUCGCCGGGGAUUCGCCGAAAAAACCAGUCCGGCGACCCAAGGAAGAAGAAGGUGCGCGUGGGGGCGCGUAGGUCUGUGCCUUCCUUGGCGCGUGGGGGCGCGUGCUACAGUAAAAAAUUAUUUUAAAAAUAUGUCGACGUCCGUGACGUCGAGUAGAUCACUGUGGUAUAUUCAUAUACCCAAAUUGAGCACCGUAUGAGAAAGUUAUUAAGGAUUGUUGUUUAGGUGUUCAAAUAACGUUUUAUAGUUUUUGCAUUUAGGUGAUAAUAUGAAUUGACGAUCCGACCGUUGGAUCGUUACCAAACUUUGAUACGUUGUAAUACGUAAUAUUUGAGGAUUAUUGGAACUUACGGAUUAGGAAUCCGAGUUACGGAUCUUCCGGAAUUGGAAUUGUAAGUUCAUAAAAUAAAAUGUUAACCGUCACUUAGUUUUGGAAAUUGACGGAGAUCCGACCGUUGGAUAGUAAUGAAAUUUUAGGAGGUUAUCCUAGAGAUAUAUUGUGGACCUCUGGAAGUUAUGGAUUUAAAAUCUGAGUGGUGGAUCUUCCGGAUCGAACUACGUAGUGACGUAUUUUAUAUAAGUUAUAUAUUCUAUCACUAUAAAUUCUGAGGUUGGAAUUGAUUAUUGUUUUAGGCGCCGAUCGUCAUGACGCCUUGGCGUAUUGUGCUAGGGAGUUGUAGGGCGAACUCCAGAUGAGUGGGCAGUUUUGUUUUCCGUAUAUAUAUACUUGACGUUUCCCCAGAAAUCAAAAUUAAAUGAAAAGUAUAUUGAAAUGUGAAUUGAGAUGCCAUGCAUAAAAGUAUAUGAAAAGUAUAUAGAAAUGUGAAUCGAAUUGCCAUGCAUGAAAUGAUAUGAAUUGAUAUAUGAUGCAUAUGAAUGAAUGGUGCGGCGACGCACAGGUGAGUAUCAGGUGAGUAUUUAAUUACUGUUAUGAUGAUGUUGAUAUAUAUUGAGCUCAAAUCCUGCACCAUGGUUUAGUGCUUAUAGUAUUCAUCGCAUCGCACGCUCGCCUUGGAUCCAAGUAGAUGCUGGUCGCACAGUCCACGCGGAGUGGGUGCGACGGGCCAGUCGUAAAGUGUUAGUGAGAUUUCGACUGGUGGGUGACCUUAGAUUAUGUGCACAUAUGAUUGAUGAGAAAGCACUAGAGCGUAACUUGUGUGCAGAAGGCCGUUCAGGUCACAGAGGUGACUCCGGCAGAGUGAGAGUGAUAGAUUUUGAGCUCUAGGUUCAACCGUACAGGGCUAUUAGAGGGCCUCCGGUUGAUUACUUUCUUGCACCUGAUAUAAUUAUUGUUGAUGCAUUCAUACUUAACUGUUGAAUUCCGACAUGGCAUGUCAUAUUUGUACUGAAAAAUGUUGAGUUAAUGAAUUGAAGUAUUGAGAAUAUAUAUGUAUAUUUAUAUUUUACAUUUCUGGGAAAGUAUACAAGUUUUACGGAGAGGGGUUACAAUGUUUUGAGAAAAGUUGGAUUUGAAAAGAUUUGUUUUACUGACCCACUCAAUUUUGGUUUUGCGCCCCUCUAGGUUAAAGAAUUGCAGAGGUGUGGUGACUACGAGGAAUUUAGCGGGGUUCUGACAGAAUGGACCAAAUUAGGACGCAUCUUCGGGUGUAUUAACUUUGAAGUUGUAUAAUUAAAGUUUCCGUACUGUGCAAAUGGUUACGUCACUCUCACGUGACGGCCAGCAUGCCCUUCGUCGGGAUGGGGUGUGUCAGUAAAUUUAUACCUGGCAACAAUUCAAUAGUGAACCUCAUAUCUCUGCCUGAAAACAACCCAGGUAUACUUUCAGGGAAGACAUCAAGAAAAGUCUAACCCCUUUUUCAUUUUUCACACUUCUCCGAGCAUCAUCCUUUAGUACCACAUGAACUAAGUAUUUUUGGGCAGCCUUUCAAAACAAUCUCUUUGCUCUCACAGCAUAAAUAACGGCCUGACUCAAUCCACUUUGUAUGCCCACUCAUUAAGAUAACCUCUGAUCAUAUUCUCAGAGUCCUCAAGACUCAACAGCAUCUCGUAUAUUCCUGGUAAGAAGUACAAUGGAUAGUGGUCACCCAAAAUACCACUUCCCUUUUUGCCACCCAGCUUAAAACAACAUAACACCUCCACCAAAUUAACAACAAUAUCUGGAUGGAACGAGGCAAGUCUGAAAACUUUCUAUAAUAUCCCUCGAUCAUCACCUUCCUUGUCUCAUAUUUGUAAACUCUUGUUACUACCAUCGAUAAAUGCCGGAGGGAUAAACUUUUCCUUAAACAAGUCCUUAAACAAUUUUAAAUCGGCUGAUUCCUCUGGUGACAACAAUUAACAAUCCUGUUUCCACCAGGAUACAAAUUCAUACCCAAAACCAGGUAGUCGUCUCGACCCCCUGUCAGAAGGAAGAUUCCUUUGACUUGCAUAAUCCGAAACUUUUUUUCCAAACGGUUAAACCGUCACUUCGUUCCCUCAGGUUCAUCAUUUCAUAAGGUGAUUCAAAUUCAACUCAUAACCCGUCUUAAAAUGUCCAUUUUGAUAAUAUACUGAAUCACCAUAAUAAUAGUUUCCCCCAAACCGCUAAAUCAGGGAGACUAAAUUCCUCUAACUACGUGGUUUGCUACGAGGCGGUGUAGUUCUGACAGAAUUCACUAGAACUUCUCAAAAUAUCCAAGAUUGCAACCAUGCUCUGAUACCAACUGACACACCCCAUCCCGAAGGAGGGCAUGCUGGCCGUCACGUGAGAGUGACGUAACCAUUUGCACAGUACGAAAGCUUUAAUUAUACAACUUCAAAGUUAAUACACCCGAAGAUGCGUCCUAAUUUGGUCCAUUCUGUCAGAACCCCGCUGAAUUCCUCGUAGUCACCACACCUCUGCAAUUCUUUAACCUGGAGGGGGCGCAAAACCAAAAUUGAGUGGGUCAGUAAAACAAAUCUUUUCAAAUCCAACUUUUCUCAAAACAUUGUAACCCCUCUCCGUAAAACUUGUAUACUUUCCCAGAAAUGUAAAAUAUAAAUAUACAUAUAUAUUCUCAAUACUUCAAUUCAUUAACUCAACAUUUUUCAGUACAAAUAUGCCAUGCCAUGUCGGAAUUCAACAGUUAAGUAUGAAUGCAUCAACAAUAAUUAUAUCAGGUGCAAGAAAGUAAUCAACCGGAGGCCCUCUAAUAGCCCUGUACAGUUGAACCUAGAGCUCAAAAUCUAUCACUCUCACUCUGCCGGAGUCACCUCUGUGACCUGUCCGGCCUUCUGCACACAAGUUACGCUCUAGUGCUUUCUCAUCAAUCAUCUGUGCACAUAAUCUAAGGUCACCCAUCAGUCGAAAUCUCACUAACACUUUACAACUGGCCCGUCGCACCCACUCCGCGUGGACUGUGCGACCAGCAUCUACUUGGAUCCAAGGCGAGCGUGCGAUGCGGUGAAUACUAUAAGCACUAAACCAUGGUGCAGGAUUUGAGCUCAAUAUAUAUCAACAUCAUCAUAACAGUAAUUAAAUACUCACCUGUGCGUCCGCCGCACCAUUCAUUCAUAUGCAUCAUAUAUCAAUUCAUAUCAUUUCAUGCAUGGCAAUUCGAUUCACAUUUCUAUAUACUUUUCAUAUACUUUUAUGCAUGGCAUCUCAAUUCACAUUUCAAUAUACUUUUCAUUUAAUUUUGAUUUCUGGGGAAACGUCAAGUAUAUAUAUACGGAAAACAAAACUGCCCACUCACCUAGAGUUUGCCCUACAACUCCCUAGCACAAUACGCCAAGGCGUCAUGACGAUCGGCGCCUAAAACAAUAAUCAAUUCCAACCUCAGAAUUUAUAAUGAUAGAAUAUAUAACUUAUAUAAAAUACGUCACUACGUAGUUCGAUCCGGAAGAUCCACCACUCAGAUUUUAAAUCCAUAACUUCCAGAGGUCCACAAUAUAUCUCUAGGAUAACAUCCUAAAAUUUCACUACCAUCCAACGGUCGAUCUCCGUCAAUUUCCAAAACUAAGUGACGGUUAACAUUUUAUUUUAUGAACUUACAAUUCCAAUUCCGGAAGAUCCGUAACUCGGAUUCCCAAUCCGUAAGUUCCAAUAAUCCUCAAAUAUUACGUAUUACAACGUAUCAAAGUUUGGUAACGACCCAACGGUCGGAUCGUCAAUUCAUAUUUUCACCUAAAUGCAAAAACUAUAAAACGUUAUUUGAACACCUAACCAACAAUCCUUAAUAACUUUCUCAUACGGUGCUCAAUUUGGGUAUAUGAAUAUACCACAUUGACCUACUUAACGUCACGGACGUCGACAAAUUUUUAAAAUAAUUUUUUAUUGUAGCACGCGCCCCCACGCACCAAGGAAGGCACGGGUCCACGCGCACCUUCUUCUUCCUUGGGUCGCCGGACUGGUUUUUCCGGCGGCCGUUUUCUGGGCAGUUUUUCAAAUUGCCAUAACUUUGUCAUUUCUCAACGAAAUCAAGUGAUUCAAAAACUGAAGUUGUAGCCCUUGAAAAGACAAAGAGAAUGAUACCUUGCACAACACCUAGUUCGCCGUGGUUUUGCCGGAAACUUCCUCGAAAGCCUCGGAGGUCGCCGGAAACUGGGUAUUUUUCAAAUGAGUAUAACUUCUUCAAUACUCAACGAAAUUGAGUGAAACAAAAAGGAAAGUUGUAGUACUUGACGAGACGAAGAGAUUGAUACCUACCUCGACUCCUAACUCGCCGGGGAUUCGCCGGAAAAAGCCUCGAAAGCUCCGGUCAAACUUUGAACUUGUCGAUCUCCGUGUUCUUACGUCUAGAAAGUUCCAACGAAGCACUCCGAGCUUCCUUGGGACCUCACUAAGCUCGCUGUGAUCUUGUUUUAGCCUAAAUCGUAACCAUUUAAAAGAUCCUGAACAGUACCAUUUCACGGGAACUUUGAAACUAGGGUUUUCCGAAGCAAAACUUAC
RNAcentral lists this long non-coding RNA (5239 nucleotides) under Malus domestica (apple). Its description in RNAcentral is "long non-coding RNA (MDOM_LNC009804)". The record is from RNAcentral. Lineage: Eukaryota; Viridiplantae; Streptophyta; Magnoliopsida; Rosales; Rosaceae.